RNAcentral lists this long non-coding RNA (1295 nucleotides) under Scleropages formosus (Asian bonytongue). RNAcentral's name for it is "lncRNA (ENSSFOG00015026009.1)". The record is from RNAcentral. Lineage: Eukaryota; Metazoa; Chordata; Actinopteri; Osteoglossiformes; Osteoglossidae.
UGCCUGUCAGCCAGCAAGACGUGCGGAAGAGGAGAGGCGAGGCACCCGGAUCCCUUUACGCACCUCCAUAGCUGAACUCUCUCUGUGGGACUGCACAGCUGAGCCCCGUACAAAAGCAGGACACGGGUCUUGAAGAAGUGCACCCAGGCUGGCAAAACCAACCACAACCUGUAGUCGAAGCACCGCACCACCGCAAUGCCAGGCCCCAAGCAAGUCUCAAAGCAAGUGUCAAAGGAGUCAUCCAGAGCCGUGGUCCCAAUUCGCCGUGCGCUGUCCAUCCAAAGUUUGAGUGAAGCCGAGGACCCGUGGGAGGGGGUCACACUGAACCGCUGUCUGGUAGUGGCAGUCAUUGUCUUAGUGAUCAGCUCCAGCAUUCAAUGCCUGAAUGAAGCUCUGGAGGCUUUUGGGAGGGAGGCUGAGGAAUCAGGAGCAGUGGAGGGAGGUGCACUGAGUAUAACCCCAGAGGAGGAGAGCUCUGUGUGGGAAAGCCUGUUCUGGUGGAGAAGAGCGCAAGAAGAUGAUGAUGAUGAUGAUGAUGACGAUCAAGACACAGCAGAAAAACCAAGGAGAAAGAAAGCACAGGGGGAGUUUGUGAGGGUCAGGCAGAAGGAAAAACCCUGGAAAGGCAUCUUGGUUGAAAAGGAGGAUGGGGAAGUUAGGGGAAAACGUGAAAAGGAACGGGGCCGGUGGCAGGAAGAGGAGGAAGGAAGAGUGAGGGGGAAGAAAGACAGAAGGAGAGAUGGGUGAAGAAGACUGAGAGGUCCAGGAUAUAUCGGCGAGAGGGAGAACACACACUUUUCAUCCUCAUCCUUUUGUGUUCAUUGGGAAGAAGGAUGGUUCAGUCACCGAGGCACCCAGUCUACACCUUUCCAUAUCUGCAAAAAUUACACUGACACACAACAUCAUUUGGAUGUGGCCACUGAAAGCUGGGAAAAUAUUCUCCCAUUAAUUUACUUUCAUUGAAAGCAACAGAAAGCAAUUUUUCCACUAUUAAAUGUUUCUCCUUAACGUCUUCAUUAAACCGAUCAAAGAAUGCGACUUAAUACGGUUCGCUGCUAUUUUCUCGGAAAUGUUUGCGUUACGCCACGCGUCCCUGGAGGUACUUAUUGUCACCGACUACAUCUUGGUUCCGUUUUGAUACCAAAACAUUUAAUCAGUUCACAGGGUUCACCUGCAGAUAUGCUGCUGAAGUAGCAUUAGUCCAAGUACAUCAUCAACAGUCACGGCAUUUGCAUUCAAGGCUUAGCAAAAUUCCAGAGUAAUUUAUGCAGUUAUACAGUAUAUAAAUCACAGCA